CCUGACUACGCGGAAGCGCAGCGCCCCGGGGAGGAGCGGCGGUAGCGAGAGCUACCGCGACACCCUGCCUCGCAGCGGCAGGGCGGCCGCGCAUGCGCGCUAAGAGCGCCGGCACCCGGAUGUGGCGGUGGCCGCUCCCCCCCGCCGCGCCGCGCCACGGAGCGCCACGCCACGGCGCGCGGCGGCCGGGGCGGCUGAGGGGUGCGGGUGGGGCGCGGCGCGGCGCGGCGCGGCGGCGGGUGUGAGCCGGGUGUUGGCCUCCUCCGGCCAGGUGGAGGCGGGAGUAGAGCUAGAUUGCAUUUUCGGAUUAGUCCGUGGUCAAGUAACAGAUAUUACUCUUGUCUCGGUCGUUGUUACACUGAUGAAGGUGCUUAUUGUUUGCGACUCAACCUGAACUUUCUUUUCAACUGAAACGAACUGGAAGAUCAGGCAUCGCUUUUGGAGGGAAAACUUGUAGAGAUGUGAUUCAAGGCAUUGGCUUGCAUUUCCCAGCCUCGGCGCGAGUGAAGAAGGUGCAGAAGGCGGCUCUGCACGCAGUAAAGUGGUCCUUUUAAGCGCUGUUUUCAGCCUGAUAGCCAAGCGUGCUUUAUUAGCACAGGAGAUGUAAUAGUGCACAGAGGGAUAAGCAUAAUCAGAAUGCAGCAAAAUAGUUAUGAUGCAGCCAUCAUCAUAACCUCAAAAGUAAAAAUUCCACAAACUCUUAGACCGGUAACCCCAUGACAGUUUACAGCCAUAUUGCCAGCAGGUGUAUGAUGUAUAAGCAUUUGAAAGAAACCAACGUUGUUUAUAUAUUCUUACAAAGUGACUGAGUCAGGAACUUAUAUAGCUGUUCCCCUGUGUUACAAGGACUGUUGGAUGCUUCCUCAGAUUGUCUUGGUAAAAUGUGAGAGAAUGCUUCCAGAGGUGGCAGAAGUCCUAGAAACAAAAGAAGUAGACUUAAAUAAGGAUCAGUAAAUGCCCAAUAUAAAAAUUAAUUCUGCAAAAUG
Phalacrocorax carbo (great cormorant) is the source of this 986-nucleotide non-coding RNA. Lineage: Eukaryota; Metazoa; Chordata; Aves; Suliformes; Phalacrocoracidae. The record is from RefSeq and is a predicted model, not a curated record.